CAAAUUCCUGCAGCUGGGCUUGCUGCGACACCCUUUGAACUGCUGUGGCCCCAGCUGGUUCCCUUAAUUAGUCGGGGUAUCUUUCCCACCUCAGCUUGGUGCAGUUUCUUCGGCAUCUCCGGGCUAGAAUAUCAUCUGUCAACUAAAACAGCUUUUAAGAGCAAAUGCUGUGGUGAUAAUAACUUCCACUAAACAGAAGUACAGACUGCAACAAGAAAUAAAAAUCAUCAUGAUUGGUCCUGCUUUUAAUAGUUUUGAUUGAAAAGCAGUGGACUGACGCAUCCCUGGAGACUGAAAUAAUUUCACAACUUUAAAGAACUCAGACCCCUGAUUAGGGGUCAGGUAUGUUGUCAGAAUGGCAUGAUGAAACUUGUACUGUUAUUGCCCGUACUGUACUCGUUCUGUGUUUUGUUUUGUUUUGUUUUUAAACAGCUGAUUUUGGAUGUCACCUCUUUCUGAAUACUAAAAUGGAAAUUUUCCAAGGGCAGUUAAAACAUCUGUUUCCCACUGAGAGUCAAUGAGAAUGUGAUGCUUCAUUCUCAGCUGUACCUUUGGAAGUUUCCACCUAAAUUUGAAGGAAAAAAAAGAUGAGCAUCCCAGUAGAUAACUGUAUCAUGAUACAGUAAUAGAUCCAUUACAAGACUUAACAAUUGUGCCCAGGUACGGGCAUGAAGUCUUUGAAUCAGCCUAAAUGCACUGAUGUUGGUAUUAGCUCUUCCUGUUCCUUAUUAUUUGGAAGAAUUGCCUAACUGAUAACUGUUUCUAUGAGUCAGGACAGAAGUAAAUGUUUUUGGUACUCAUCAGUUUGUGGGAAUGAUGGUAUGGUAUUUCUAGGAAGGACCCUUUCUUCAUGAAGGAUGUGCUUCAUCA
Molecule: long non-coding RNA, 870 nt
Organism: Alligator mississippiensis (American alligator)
Lineage: Eukaryota; Metazoa; Chordata; Crocodylia; Alligatoridae
Exons: 3
Source: RefSeq, a predicted model, not a curated record